GCGAGAGGAGGGCAGAGAUGUGGACCCACACAGAGGCCACGCCGGGGCUGAGCAAGGACGGCCCCGGAUAGGGCGGGCUUAGAGAGGGGCACGGAGGCUGGACCCUGGCCUUGAAGGAGCCCCUGCAAGGUGGGGGCUGCACUGGGGUUGUGGCAGGGGAACAUGUGGACCACAGAAAGCAUCACACCUGGGCUGGUGCUGGACAUCCCCAGCACCAACCACACCUUCUCAUCGCCAGGGCCUCCUGUUCAGGCUGCUUGGACUCUCAAGCUCUGUCUGCUUUGUUCCUACUUGGCAGAACUGGGCGCCUCUCAGCACUCACUUGGAGACGUGGGGUCGGAACUCUGGUGGCCUGGUGCCUCUCCCAGCCAGGUACUGACUCGUCCCACGACCCGGCAGCAGCCUGAGGAUCUCAGGAAUCUGUCCCCUCGCCUUGCCUUUCCCUGAACACGGGCCCAAUGUGGGCCACCUUCACUCUCGCUUCACACCAAAAGCUAAGAAAGCCUAGAAGGUUCAUACGGGUGGGGCCAGACAGCCCCCAGCUGGCCUUACAGUGUGAAGGGAACUCCCUGAGAGAAGGGAAAGCAAAGCUGUCAUAUCAGGGGUCCCCGGACCCAGCCUUGGUGGGGCCCUGCCCUGCCGACACCCAUGGCUUCCAGCAACAAAGCUGAAUACAGGUGUCUCCGCCUGCACGCGGGCCCCCUCCUGGCACCCUGAAGCCCAGCUGCACCCGCCUGCUCAGGGUCCCUCUCAAAUGCCCCUUGGCCUCUGUGACCUGACCCCUCCAGGAGCCCACCCUGGCCCCUCCCCUCCUCCAUAGGAACUUCACUCAUCCUUGGAGCCCAACCAAGCGUCUUCCUCUGCCCUCCUCCCUUCUGUGCCCUCCUCCCUCCUCCCUUCUGUGCCCUCCUCCCUCCUCCCUGGCAGGGCUCAGGGCCUUGCACUCCUCCAUGAGCUGUCUGUGCUCCUCUGUGCACGGCUCUCAGCCUGAGUCCAGGCACUGCCUCUCCCUGAGUCCCUCACCCCAGACUUGGGGGGCUCUGAGGGCCUGGACUCAUGGGUGUCUUCUAUGCCCAGCACAGGACCUGGAUGAAUGAACACACACCCUUCCUUUCCCAGGCUCUGCCGUGUCUUCUGUCAAAGCAUCAGAAAUCAGGGGCUUUGGCAGGACAACUGAAAUGGUAUAGCGGCUGCAGCAAAGCCUGGAGUCCAACUUACGUCCACGUCUCACAAGAUGGAGUUUUGCUCAUGUCACCCAGGCUGGAGUGCAAUGG
Molecule: long non-coding RNA, 1274 nt
Filed under: Homo sapiens (human)
Lineage: Eukaryota; Metazoa; Chordata; Mammalia; Primates; Hominidae
Description: HSALNT0388103
Source: RNAcentral